This 332-nucleotide long non-coding RNA is filed under the name Elaeis guineensis (African oil palm). Its description in RNAcentral is "long non-coding RNA (EGUI_LNC032638)". Lineage: Eukaryota; Viridiplantae; Streptophyta; Magnoliopsida; Arecales; Arecaceae. The record is from RNAcentral.
CCGCCGCGUCCUUUUCGCCCUUCCGCUUCUUCUUCGCCUCUUCCACAACGAUCCGGGAAUCUCCGCCGUCGUAUCCGUCGAUCGAACGCCUCUUCAUCCCUCCUCCGUCGAGCACCUCCUUGGGGGAACGGGAUUGGGCCGAAGGGAUUUCGAUCUGGAAAAGGGAAUCCUUUGUUCUUCUCGCGUCCCAGCCACGGGGCUUUAAAGAAGGCUUUACUUAAUCACGGGCUUUCCGGGAAACACUUACGAAACCAGGCAUGGAGAUUGGGGGUAAUAACGGGAGUGCCCGGCGGUUUGGCUUCUUCCUCCUCCUGACGACAACAAGCCGAAGC